UACUGUAAACCGACACAGGUGAUCAGGUAGAGAAUACCAAGGCGCUUGAGAGAACUCGGGUGAAGGAACUAGGCAAAAUGGUACCGUAACUUCGGGAGAAGGUACGCCGGUUUGGGUGAUGGGACUUGCUCCUUGAGCCUGGGCUGGCCGAAGUGACCAGGUGGCUGCGACUGUUUAUUAAAAACAUAGCACUGUGCAAACACGUAAGUGGACGUAUACGGUGUGACGCCUGCCCGGUGCCGGAAGGUUAAUUGAUGGGGUUAUCUUCGGAGAAGCUCUUGAUCGAAGCCCCGGUAAACGGCGGCCGUAACUAUAACGGUCCUAAGGUAGCGAAAUUCCUUGUCGGGUAAGUUCCGACCUGCACGAAUGGCGUAACGAUGGCCACACUGUCUCCACCCGAGACUCAGUGAAAUUGAAAUCGCUGUUAAGAUGCAGUGUACCCGCGGCUAGACGGAAAGACCCCGUGAACCUUUACUAUAGCUUCACACUGGACUCUGACCUUACUUGUGUAGGAUAGCUGGGAGGCUUUGAAGCGGUGGCGCCAGCCAUCGUGGAGCCAACCUUGAAAUACCAGCCUGGUAAUGUUGGGGUUCUAACUCAGGUCCGUAAUCCGGAUCGAGGACAGUGUGUGGUGGGUAGUUUGACUGGGGCGGUCUCCUCCCAAAGAGUAACGGAGGAGCACGAAGGUGCGCUAAUCACGGUCGGAAAUCGUGAGGUUAGUGUAAAGGCACAAGCGCGCUUGACUGCGAGUCUGACAAGACGAGCAGGUACGAAAGUAGGUCUUAGUGAUCCGGUGGUUCUGUAUGGAAGGGCCAUCGCUCAACGGAUAAAAGGUACUCCGGGGAUAACAGGCUGAUACCGCCCAAGAGUUCACAUCGACGGCGGUGUUUGGCACCUCGAUGUCGGCUCAUCACAUCCUGGGGCUGAAGCCGGUCCCAAGGGUAUGGCUGUUCGCCAUUUAAAGUGGUACGCGAGCUGGGUUUAGAACGUCGUGAGACAGUUCGGUCCCUAUCUGCCGUGGGCGUUGGAGAAUUGGGGGAAGCUGCUCCUAGUACGAGAGGACCGGAGUGGACGAACCGCUGGUGUUCGGGUUGUGUCGCCAGACGCAUUGCCCGGUAGCUACGUUCGGACAGGAUAAGCGCUGAAAGCGUCUAAGCGCGAAGCCCCUCCCAAGAUAAGUUCUCCCUGACCCCUUGAGGGUCCUGAAGGGCCGUCGAAGACUACGACGUCGAUAGCUGGGUGUGUAAGCGUUGUAAGGCGUUGAGCUAACCAGUACUAAUUGCCCGUGAGGCUUGACCAU
RNAcentral lists this ribosomal RNA (1300 nucleotides) under metagenome. RNAcentral's name for it is "bacterial LSU rRNA". It matches the Rfam family "Bacterial large subunit ribosomal RNA", at positions 1645 to 2925 of the family's 2925-position model. The record is from RNAcentral.